CUUUGAAAAGAAACACAAAUUUUCACAUGUUGGCGCCACAGCACCUCGGCCUCCCUACCUCUCCAACAUGCGUCUGUCACGCACAUAUCACGCACCGGAUGGGAAAAUGUGGAAAUAUGGACCAAUCAGAGUUUGCCACGUCAUCUAUCUACCUGUGAGUCAGGCCAGAUAUCACCGUUUUCCCGCCACUGGAAAAUCAUUCUGCUAGCAGAGACGAUCGUUAUCGGACAGAAGCAACUUUUGGGAGACCUAUCUACCAGAUACAGCGAGACAUAGCAAUGGGGCCUUGCAAAAGCACUAUGAAAUUUGGAACUCAGCAAAACGCACAGGACAUGCCUGUGAACAAGGGGCUGUUCAGUGCAGCAGUUGCCGCAGCUGUGGGCAAGGUGACUGUGAAAGCUGCCCCCAAGGGAGCCGAGAUCUGCGCCUUCUCUUCACCUGAUGAG
Molecule: long non-coding RNA, 446 nt
Organism: Branchiostoma floridae (Florida lancelet)
Lineage: Eukaryota; Metazoa; Chordata; Leptocardii; Amphioxiformes; Branchiostomatidae
Exons: 3
Source: RefSeq, a predicted model, not a curated record